This 427-nucleotide ribosomal RNA is filed under the name uncultured bacterium. Its description in RNAcentral is "bacterial SSU rRNA". It matches the Rfam family "Bacterial small subunit ribosomal RNA", at positions 29 to 450 of the family's 1533-position model. The record is from RNAcentral.
AUUGAACGCUGGCGGAAUGCUUUACACAUGCAAGUCGAGCGGCAGCGCGGGGGCAACCCUGGCGGCGAGCGGCGAACGGGUGAGUAACAUAUCGGAACGUACCCCGUCGUGGGGGAUAACACAGCGAAAGCUGUGCUAAUACCGCAUACGACCUGAGGGUGAAAGCGGGGGAUCGCAAGACCUCGCGCGAUGGGGAGCGGCCGAUAUCGGAUUAGCUUGUUGGUGAGGUAAAGGCCCACCAAGGCGACGAUCCGUAGCUGGUCUGAGAGGACGACCAGCCACACUGGAACUGAGACACGGUCCAGACUCCUACGGGAGGCAGCAGUGGGGAAUUUUGGACAAUGGGGGGCAACCCUGAUCCAGCCAUUCCGCGUGAGUGAAGAAGGGCCCUUCGGGGUUGUAAAGGUACGUCUUUCCUAGCAGGAAC